GUGCCAGGCGCCGCGGUAAUACGGAGGGGGUUAGCGUUGUUCGGAAUUACUGGGCGUAAAGCGCACGUAGGCGGAUUAGUCAGUCAGAGGUGAAAUCCCAGGGCUCAACCCUGGAACUGCCUUUGAUACUGCUAGUCUUGAGUUCGAGAGAGGUGAGUGGAAUUCCGAGUGUAGAGGUGAAAUUCGUAGAUAUUCGGAGGAACACCAGUGGCGAAGGCGGCUCACUGGCUCGAUACUGACGCUGAGGUGCGAAAGUGGGGGGAGCAAACAGGAUUAGAAACCCGAGUAGUCC
Molecule: ribosomal RNA, 292 nt
Filed under: uncultured bacterium
Lineage: Bacteria
Description: partial 16S ribosomal RNA
Rfam family: Bacterial small subunit ribosomal RNA
Source: RNAcentral